Molecule: transfer RNA, 71 nt
Filed under: Spinacia oleracea (spinach)
Lineage: Eukaryota; Viridiplantae; Streptophyta; Magnoliopsida; Caryophyllales; Amaranthaceae
Rfam family: tRNA
About the family: Transfer RNA (tRNA) molecules are approximately 80 nucleotides in length. Their secondary structure includes four short double-helical elements and three loops (D, anti-codon, and T loops).
Source: Rfam by way of RNAcentral
UGCCUAUUAGCUCAAAUGGAAGACCAAUGUGCAAUUGCACAUGGAUGUAGGUUCAAAUCCUACAUAGGCUU